RNAcentral lists this long non-coding RNA (259 nucleotides) under Gallus gallus (chicken). Lineage: Eukaryota; Metazoa; Chordata; Aves; Galliformes; Phasianidae. The record is from RNAcentral.
UGUAAACUGAUUAUAUGGCAAAUACAGAGGCGUGGACUUAGCUGAUGGUGACUGCGAGGCCUCUGUCUGUGAUGUAGAAGGACCUGGUUGCUGAUUUUCAUGCAUUUUCACAUCACUGUGGUCUGUCACUUUGGAUAAGAUCCUAUCAAUGGUUUUGUAGUAAGGCCAGUCAGGUGCAACAGUUUCACUGUCAGUCAUGCAUUUUAAUUUCCUGUACUGGAAUGUCAUAUUUGUAAUUUUUAUCUUUAUUUCCUCUCCG